This 427-nucleotide ribosomal RNA is filed under the name uncultured bacterium. RNAcentral's name for it is "partial 16S ribosomal RNA". It matches the Rfam family "Bacterial small subunit ribosomal RNA", at positions 355 to 774 of the family's 1533-position model. The record is from RNAcentral.
UGGGGAAUAUUGCACAAUGGGCGCAAGCCUGAUGCAGCCAUGCCGCGUGUGUGAAGAAGGCCUUCGGGUUGUAAAGCACUUUCAGCGAGGAGGAAGGGUAGUGUGUUAAUAGCACAUUGCAUUGACGUUACUCGCAGAAGAAGCACCGGCUAACUCCGUGCCAGCAGCCGCGGUAAUACGGAGGGAGCAAGCGUUAAUCGGAAUUACUGGGCGUAAAGCGCAUGCAGGCGGUUUGUUAAGUCAGAUGUGAAAUCCCCGCGCUUAACGUGGGAACUGCAUUUGAAACUGGCAAGCUAGAGUCUUGUAGAGGGGGGUAGAAUUCCAGGUGUAGCGGUGAAAUGCGUAGAGAUCUGGAGGAAUACCGGUGGCGAAGGCGGCCCCCUGGACAAAGACUGACGCUCAGGUGCGAAAGCGUGGGGAGCAAACA